UCAGUUCGGAUUGGAGUCUGCAACCCGACUCCAUGAAGCUGGAUUCGCUAGUAAUCGCGCAUCAGCCACGGCGCGGUGAAUACGUUCCCGGGCCUUGUACACACCGCCCGUCAAGCCAUGGAAGCCGGGAGUGCCUGAAGUGUGCAACCGCAAGGAGCGCCCUAAGGUAAAACCGGUGACUGGGGCUAAGUCGUAACAAGGUAGC
This 205-nucleotide ribosomal RNA is filed under the name uncultured bacterium. Its description in RNAcentral is "partial 16S ribosomal RNA". It matches the Rfam family "Bacterial small subunit ribosomal RNA", at positions 1288 to 1500 of the family's 1533-position model. The record is from RNAcentral.